AGCGAACGCUGGCGGCAGGCCUAACACAUGCAAGUCGAACGAACUCUUCGGAGUUAGUGGCGGACGGGUGAGUAACACGUGGGAACGUGCCUUUUGGUUCGGAAUAACUCAGGGAAACUUGUGCUAAUACCGAAUGUGCCCUUCGGGGGAAAGAUUUAUCGCCAUUAGAGCGGCCCGCGUCUGAUUAGCUAGUUGGUGAGGUAACGGCUCACCAAGGCGACGACCAGUAGCUGGUCUGAGAGGAUGACCAGCCACACUGGGACUGAGACACGGCCCAGACUCCUACGGGAGGCAGCAGUGGGGAAUCUUGCGCAAUGGGCGAAAGCCUGAUGCAGCCAUGCCGCGUGAAUGAUGAAGGUCUUAGGAUUGUAAAAUUCUUUCACCGGGGACGAUAAUGACGGUACCCGGAGAAGAAGCCCCGGCUAACUUCGUG
Molecule: ribosomal RNA, 433 nt
Filed under: uncultured bacterium
Lineage: Bacteria
Description: partial 16S ribosomal RNA
Rfam family: Bacterial small subunit ribosomal RNA
Source: RNAcentral